GACGAACGCUGGCGGCGUGCCUAAUACAUGCAAGUCGAACGCAGUGGGGACGGGUGAGUAACACGUGGGUAACCUCCCAUCAGAAGGGAUAACACUUGGAAAAAGGUGCUAACCCGAUACGGAUGGAUGGACCCGCGGUGCAUUAGCUAGUUGGUGAGGUAACGGCUCACCAAGGCCACGAUGAAUAGCUGACCUGAGAGGGUGAUCGUCCACACGGGGACUGAGACACGGCCCAGACUCCUACGGGAGGCAGCAGUCGGGAAUCUUCGGCAAUGGACGAAAGUCUGAGCGAUCAACGCCGCGUGAGUGAAGAAGGUUUUCGGAUCGUAAAACUCUGUUGUUAGAGAAGCGGUAUCUAACCAGAAAGCCACGGCUAACUACGUGCCAGCAGCCGCGGUAAUUC
RNAcentral lists this ribosomal RNA (403 nucleotides) under uncultured bacterium. RNAcentral describes it as "partial 16S ribosomal RNA". It matches the Rfam family "Bacterial small subunit ribosomal RNA", at positions 28 to 526 of the family's 1533-position model. The record is from RNAcentral.